RNAcentral lists this ribosomal RNA (465 nucleotides) under Vreelandella stevensii. RNAcentral's name for it is "partial 16S ribosomal RNA". It matches the Rfam family "Bacterial small subunit ribosomal RNA", at positions 338 to 795 of the family's 1533-position model. Lineage: Bacteria; Pseudomonadati; Pseudomonadota; Gammaproteobacteria; Oceanospirillales; Halomonadaceae. The record is from RNAcentral.
CCUACGGGAGGCAGCAGUGGGGAAUAUUGGACAAUGGGGGCAACCCUGAUCCAGCCAUGCCGCGUUUGUGAAGAAGGCCCGCGGGUUGUAAAGCACUUUCAGUGAGGAAGAACGCCUGGUGGUUAAUACCCAUCAGGAAAGACAUCACUCACAGAAGAAGCACCGGCUAACUCCGUGCCAGCAGCCGCGGUAAUACGGAGGGUGCGAGCGUUAAUCGGAAUUACUGGGCGUAAAGCGCGCGUAGGUGGCUUGAUAAGCCGGUUGUGAAAGCCCCGGGCUCAAUCUGGGAACGGCAUCCGGAACUGUCAAGCUAGAGUGCAGGAGAGGAAGGUAGAAUUCCCGGUGUAGCGGUGAAAUGCGUAGAGAUCGGGAGGAAUACCAGUGGCGAACGCGGCCUUCUGGACUGACACUGACACUGAGGUGUGGAAGCGUGGGUAGCAAACAGGAUUAGAUACCCCAGUAGUC